Molecule: long non-coding RNA, 580 nt
Filed under: Olea europaea subsp. europaea
Lineage: Eukaryota; Viridiplantae; Streptophyta; Magnoliopsida; Lamiales; Oleaceae
Source: RNAcentral
AUUUUCUCUCUCAUCUACCUUCCCUCGACUCUCUUCCUUUCUCUAUUGUCGUCGAAGAUUGUUUCAAUGUCAGCUCCAGUAAGCUCGCCUCUAGCAUCCAAGCGAGUCAACUUACCACUGUCGACUGCUCUAGUACAAUAUCCACUAUUUCCAACUCCCGAGGCAUCAACACCACUAGAUUCGGCUUCUACGCACCCAAGUGAGACUUCAGCUAAGGCUCCGUCGAACAGUAAGAAGCACAUUUCACCUUCAAAUGCUUCGGCCCUGAAGUUGAUGAGCCCACCUGCACGUCCGACGGAAGCCUCCAAACCUGACCGAUUCCAUCAGUCAAUGGACUUUUACCCGAUUUAAUCAAGAGAGCCAUAUAGGUACAAUAUCAUUUAUUGUCGAGCCUCCAAGUGGGACUUUAGGUCACUCCAAUAAUUUCCCACGCAGCUAGGGGUUUUCCACACUUCUACCAAAAAACCCUGACCGUUAUACAGAUCUCAGUUUGUCGUAAUUAUUCUGAAAUUUUGUGUUCUUGUUAUUGUAUAUUCAUAUAUAAGUUUUCUAUCUUCCUCAAGAAAAUUAAUCAGGUUUC